RNAcentral lists this ribosomal RNA (274 nucleotides) under Xanthomonas citri pv. citri. RNAcentral describes it as "partial 23S ribosomal RNA". It matches the Rfam family "Bacterial large subunit ribosomal RNA", at positions 1652 to 1925 of the family's 2925-position model. The record is from RNAcentral. Lineage: Bacteria; Pseudomonadati; Pseudomonadota; Gammaproteobacteria; Lysobacterales; Lysobacteraceae.
AACCGACACAGGUAGUCAAGAUGAGAAUUCUAAGGUGAGCGAGCGAACUCUCGUUAAGGAACUCGGCAAAAUGACCCCGUAACUUCGGGAGAAGGGGUGCUCUUUAGGGUUAACGCCCAGAAGAGCCGCAGUGAAUAGGCCCAAGCGACUGUUUAUCAAAAACACAGGUCUCUGCUAAACCGUAAGGUGAUGUAUAGGGGCUGACGCCUGCCCGGUGCUGGAAGGUUAAGAGGAGUGGUUAGCUUCUGCGAAGCUACGAAUCGAAGCCCCAGUA